UUGAACUGAAGAGUUUGAUCCUGGCUCAGAUUGAACGCUGGCGGCAUGCCUUACACAUGCAAGUCGAACGGCAGCACGGGCUUCGGCCUGGUGGCGAGUGGCGAACGGGUGAGUAAUACAUCGGAACAUGUCCUGUAGUGGGGGAUAGCCCGGCGAAAGCCGGAUUAAUACCGCAUACGAUCCACGGAUGAAAGCGGGGGACCUUCGGGCCUCGCGCUAUAGGGUUGGCCGAUGGCUGAUUAGCUAGUUGGUGGGGUAAAGGCCUACCAAGGCGACGAUCAGUAGCUGGUCUGAGAGGACGACCAGCCA
This 309-nucleotide ribosomal RNA is filed under the name Burkholderia ubonensis. RNAcentral describes it as "bacterial SSU rRNA". It matches the Rfam family "Bacterial small subunit ribosomal RNA", at positions 1 to 310 of the family's 1533-position model. The record is from RNAcentral. Lineage: Bacteria; Pseudomonadati; Pseudomonadota; Betaproteobacteria; Burkholderiales; Burkholderiaceae.